CCUACGGGAGGCAGCAGUGGGGAAUAUUGGACAAUGGGGGGAACCCUGAUCCAGCCAUGCCGCGGGUGUGAAGAAGGCCCUCGGGUUGUAAAGCACUUUCAGUGAGGAAGAACGCCUGGUGGUUAAUACCCAUCAGGAAAGACAUCACUCACAGAAGAAGCACCGGCUAACUCCGUGCCAGCAGCCGCGGUAAUACGGAGGGUGCGAGCGUUAAUCGGAAUUACUGGGCGUAAAGCGCGCGUAGGUGGCUUGAUAAGCCGGUUGUGAAAGCCCCGGGCUCAACCUGGGAACGGCAUCCGGAACUGUCAAGCUAGAGUGCAGGAGAGGAAGGUAGAAUUCCCGGUGUAGCGGUGAAAUGCGUAGAGAUCGGGAGGAAUACCAGUGGCGAAGGCGGCCUUCUGGACUGACACUGACACUGAGGUGCGAAAGCGUGGGUAGCAAACAGGAUUAGAUACCCCUGUAGUC
This 465-nucleotide ribosomal RNA is filed under the name Vreelandella stevensii. RNAcentral's name for it is "partial 16S ribosomal RNA". It matches the Rfam family "Bacterial small subunit ribosomal RNA", at positions 338 to 795 of the family's 1533-position model. Lineage: Bacteria; Pseudomonadati; Pseudomonadota; Gammaproteobacteria; Oceanospirillales; Halomonadaceae. The record is from RNAcentral.